AAUGCAUUUACACUGAGGCAAAGUAAAUACCGAAAAAGGUAAACAAGAAAUGGGCAAAACUAGGGUUUACUUACCGUUUCAUAGAUAUUAUCAAUUCAUUGGUUGCUCAUUAAUUUGAUUUUUCAAUUGUUUUAAUAAUGAGCAGGUUAAAGAUAAUUAAGCAAAUCAAUUGAUAAAUAAUGUAAAUUAUUGAAUUAACAAUAGAUUAAGAGUUAAAAGGAGGUUGCUUUUAUAUGCAUAUUGAUGUGGAUAUUAAAGAUGGAAAGGGAAUCGACCUAGUGAAGGAUCUAUGAGAAGGGAUAAAGGAUGAGAACGAUGAUAAAGAAAGGGAAAUGUAAGAGAAAUGAAAAACAUAUGGAGAGGGAAGAUGGAGGUGGGAAGGAUGAUUAACAGAGAGAGAGUGGGAAGGAUGAGGAUAAAUUUGUUUUUUUGUUGUUCACAUCAAAAAUGAGGCUUAAAAUUUGCGCCUCAUGUUGUUGUUGGUUUUCCUGUUACUACAGCAACUACCUCUGUAGUAAAGGUUGUAACCUUUAUCAUUAAUUUUUGGAUAAUUUUGUGUGUUUCAAUUUGGACUCUUCUCGAUAUUAACAACUGUAAUGAGGACCAGUUUUUAACAGGACAACCUGGCCUAUUGAUACUGGAUGGAUGAUAACAGCUGAUUUUUACCCAACUUGAAUGUUUCCUCAAACCGAAAAGGCUGCUGCUUCAUUUUCACACAGUUACAAACUCGUGUUUUGCUUGCAUCUUGUAUGUUUAAAUACACAGACCCUCUAUGAGAACCGAGAGAACCUCUUCCCAUCGCCAUCAUCAGCAGCAGCUUCGCACUCGUCAUCUUUAUCCUAAACUCCUGCUCUUGUCUGUUUGCCCAUCCGUUUUGCAACUCUUUCAAUUUCAGUUGCAGUACGAGGUCCUUCCUAUUAUGUCAAUAUUUUAGCAAACAAUUGCUCAAAAUUUAAUUAAUCAAAGCAACAAGUCGGACAUUGAGAAAGGAAUGGACUAUUGUUCAAUUUGCUUAUUUGCUUAGCUUGCAAUUAGACUGUGAACUACUCUUGUGGUAUCGACUGAAUGGAAAUGUACAUCAAACAAAUAGACAGAACUCAGAACUUAAUGCAGAACUGUGUUUUAUGCUUAAAUGCAUACUAAUUGAAUGUCAUCAAAAUCAUCAAAAAAAGUAUAUAACAGUAAAAAUUUGCAACAUUUUUACGUUUCUUAUUGGAGUUGGAUCAUGAAAUUUAUAUACAUUUUAACUACAGCUUGAAUUGCAAUACUUGAGCAAACUUGAAUGAUAUUGAACCUUGAUUUAGCAACUUGGAAGAUAAAGUUCAUCAGUAUUAUUAAUAACACGGAAAGAGUUAAAUGAAGAAUUGAAAUUUAGGCGAUUCUAAAGUUCAUAUUAGCACCUGAUUUUGAAGCAUGUGUUACUGGUUAUACCGAUGAAAUUAGAUUCAGUUCUCAUUGGUAAGUCUUUGUUUUUCCCAAAUUGAGGCAUUUUGAAUUACUGGAUCUCUUGCAUUUUGGAUCAUUGAAUUCAUGGCUCUGGCUUUUUCCACUGUAAAUUGACUGUUUAAUUCAAAUUGAUGUUCAAUCGCCUGUUAAACCGCAGAUUCCCAGCUGAAUGUAGCUAUAAAUGCAAACCUAACGAUGUUUUGUUUCUCAACAAAUUACAUUGAUUGAACUUGGUCAUUUUUUUUCUUUGUUUUUCGUUUUUUAUCUUCUUCAUCAUCAUCAUAUUACUCUCCUAUUAUAUUUACAAUCUCCACUAUUAAUAUAAAAAAACCGUUGCCAAUAGUAAAGUAACAAUACUAACACCAUCCAAUCAACAUCAGAAAUGGAUAAUCAUUUAUUGAUAGAGGAUCAUCUUAAAGUUCAACUUCAAUUUCAAAUGCAACAACUUCAACAACAACUCUCACAACAGCUUCAACAGCAACAUCAACAGCAACAUCAACAACAGCAACAGCAACAACAAUCAGUGAAUUCUAAUCAUAAUCAACAUUCCCUGCCAUUGGAAGAUGCAACAAAUAAAAAUAUUUUGAGGAUAAAACGUGAAAAAAGGAAGCAGUUAAGAUUGAGAGAAUAUCGAAAUCUUUGUAAAAUCAUUCCUUCUCUUCAUGGAUUAAAUGAAGUUCCUAAAGUUAAAAUUAUUAAUGAAGCUGUUAAAUACAUUGAUGAACUGCACCAACGAUUAAUACACAAAAUUAUCAAGUCAUCACAAACCCAAUCACAUUCACCAUCAUUAUCGUCAUCAUCACCAUUACAAUCACCAACAACAGCAACAACACCUACUACAGUAACAAUACCUCUAACACCUCCAUCAUCUGAACCAUCUUCGCCUUUACCAUCACCACAAUUGUCACCAUUAUAAUAAGAGCUGAUUUUCAAUUAGCAGUUCAGUUGUUUAAAUAAUGCGUAAAAUUAAAUUGUGAAAUUGAAAAUGAAUAUAAUUGUAUGUAAGCAUAUUAUAUAAUGUAAUGUAUAAAUAUCAUUAAAUUAAAACAAUAUUUUGUCAAGAAA
This is a non-coding RNA of Tetranychus urticae (two-spotted spider mite), 2511 nucleotides long. The record is from RefSeq and is a predicted model, not a curated record. NCBI's taxonomy places the organism in Eukaryota, Metazoa, Arthropoda, Arachnida, Trombidiformes, Tetranychidae.